AGCAGCCGCGGUAAUUCCAGCUCCAAUAGCGUAUAUUAAAGUUGUUGCAGUUAAAAAGCUCGUAGUUGAAUUUCGGGAUUAGUACGUUGGUCGUGCCUUAGGUACGUACUGGUGUUACUGGUUCCUACCUUCUGACGAACCAUCAUGUCAUUAAUUUGGUGUGGCGGGGAAUCAGGACUGUUACUUUGAAAAAAUUAGAGUGUUUAAAGCAGGCUCGCGCUUGAAUACAUUAGCAUGGAAUAAUGAAAUAGGACGUUGACCCUAUUUUGUUGGUUUCUAGGGUUGACGUAAUGAUUAAUAGGGAUAGUUGGGGGCAUUAGUAUUCAAUUGUCAGAGGUGAAAUUCUUGGAUUUAUUGAAGACUAACUACUGCGAAAGCAUUUGCCAAGGAUGUUUUCAUUAAUCAAGAACGAAAGUUAGGGGAUCGAAGACGAUCAGAUACCGUCGUAGUCUUAACCAUAAACUAUGCCGACUAGGGAUCGGAUGAUGUUAUUUUUAAUGACUCA
RNAcentral lists this ribosomal RNA (505 nucleotides) under Glomus sp. MO-G5. RNAcentral describes it as "SSU rRNA". It matches the Rfam family "Eukaryotic small subunit ribosomal RNA", at positions 569 to 1078 of the family's 1831-position model. The record is from RNAcentral. Lineage: Eukaryota; Fungi; Glomeromycota; Glomeromycetes; Glomerales; Glomeraceae.